UAGAAUCACUACGAAUUUUUAAAAAAUUUCAAAAUUCAUACUAUAUACCGUUGCCAACCGUAAUUUACUCAUUUCAUCAAUACUUUUACAACCUAAAUGACUCUCAUUAAACAUCCUAGGUACAUGCCAUUAUCAAUACUCAACAUACUUUACCUCAUUGAAUUCUGGAUCGGCCUGGGAUGCUGAUUCAACAGUCUAGCCUUAACUUAUCCUGCGCACGAAAACAAACCGUACGCUGAGUAUACACUCAGUGGUAUUUCUAUAAUCCAAACACUUAAACAAUUAUAAAACUUAUUAAUUUAUAUAUAUUGAACUAUUCAAACUCAAUGAGUAUUCAAACAUUCACUUUCCAACCAUUGUUUUGGUCUACUUUAAAUUUCAAAUCAUUUAUUAAAUUCAAUAGCAAUUAAUCAAUCAGUAAUGUUCAUUAACAAUCAGAACAAUUAUUUAUUCAGUAAUAGUCAGUUAUUCGGUAACAAUCAAUUAUUCAAUAAUAAUCAGUUGUUCAGUAUCAAUCAACUGAUCGGUUAUCCAGUAACAGUCAAUUAUUCAGUAAAAAUCAGAUUUACAGUAACAAUUAAAUUAUUUAGUAACAGUCGAUCUUUCCAGUUCCUCUAUUUACCCCUAUUAACAUGACUCGGACCUAGACGGAUACAAGGAUCCAACCAACACACCAGUACGGCACAUAGUGCCUCAUCGGCCGAAACCAGAACAAUAACAGUAACAGUAGCAGUACGGUACAUAGAGUACCUCAUCGGAACAAAUCCGAAACAGUAACAGUAACAUUACGGUACACAGAGUACCUCAUCGGAACAAAUUCGAAACAGUAACAGUAACAGUAACGGUAACAGUAACAAUAUCCGACACACAAAAUGUUGAAUCGGUAAUAGUAACGGUAACAGUAACAGUAGUCGGCACAUAAGUACCUGAUCAGUAAGCCGGCAAAACCCGUAUUCUUCCAUAUCCUAUGGCAUGCCAACUAUAUCCGACUAGUUCGACUAGUUAAUAGGGUAUUUAAUUCAUUUUCAGUUUUCAAUUAAUUCAUAUUUUAAUUAAUUAACUAUAUAUUUUCAAUUCAAUAUAAUUCCAUUCACUUUUCACUAAUAAAUAUUCAAUUCCAUAAUAAUCAAAAUUUUCUAUCAAUUUUAUCACACUUCCAACUACAUAUAUUUUCCAAUAUAACAAAUAUUUAUUAUUCAAUUUUCACAUCAAUAUUCAUUUCAAUUCAAACAUUUAUAUAUAUUCAUAAAUCAAUUCAAUAUAAAUUUAUCACACACUAAAUUAAUCCAUUUCCAUUAUAAACACGAUAAUUCUCACUUCAACAUUUAUUAAUUGCAUUAAUAAAAAAAUUAUAACAAUUAAUAACUAGGUUCAGAUUAUAAAAAUACAAACCGUAGUUUUUGAGCUAACUUCUGUUGACUUUGUCUUGUCCUUUCUUAACCGAGAUUUCCGGUACCACAUUGACUACGAAAUUAAUACAAUUCAUAAUCAUUAAUGCAUUACUAAUUUAUAUCUUGAGUUACAUAAUUAUAAAUUAAGAUUCGCUAAUUUUUCCUGAAACUAGACUCAGAAAUCUUCUUACCAUAAAAUUUUCAGAAUUUUUAGUUUAGCCAUUAAGUACAGUUUAUUCUUUAAAUUCACCCCUAUUCUGCUGUCUGACAGUUUCGACCAUUCUUCACUAAAAAAUAAUUAUAUAAUAGUACAGAACUCGGAUAAUAUUCCUGUUGAUUUAUCCUGAAAAUAGACUCAUUAGGGAUUCUAAACAUAUAACUUUAAGCCUCUAAUUAUUUUUCUCCAAUUUUUGGUGAUUUUCCAAAGUCAGAACAGGGGAACCCAAAUUCAUUCUGAACUUGUCUCACUAAAUUCAUUAUAUCUCACAAUUUACAACUUAAUUGCUUACACCGUUUCUUCUAUAAGAAACUAGACUCAAUAAGCUUUAAUUCCAUGUUUUAUUCAUCCUCUAAUUCAAUUUCUACAAUUUUUGGUGAUUUUUCAAACUUAGACUACUGCUGCUGUCCAAAAUAGUCUUAGUGCAAAAUGUUGAUUUUCUACUUUUAAUUUCAAUUUAAUCCUAACUAAAUUCACUUACUUUUCUAUCUUAAUUCAUACUUUAUUUCUACUCAAUUUUUAACUAAACUCAUACUUAACUAUUAAAUUUCCAGCAUAUUUUCCUAAUUUCUAAAUUUCAUCAAUUUAGUCCCUACAACAUAAAACUUAUGAAUUACUUUACAAUUCAAUCUUUAUUUCAUUUCUAACUUGAAUUCCUAUCAAUCUAACCCAUAAUUCAUCUUUUUAUUCAACAUGAACAAUAUUUAAAAAUCUAAUAACUUUCAAAAUAUUCACUUAAUUUCAUCAAAACCUUGUCUCAAAGCUUCCAAAACAUCAAAAUUAAGUAAAAAAGGCUAAAUUGACUUACCUAUUUAACUUUCAAGCCUUGAAAUCCCAAUUUUUCCCUUUUUCCUUCUUUCUUUUUUCUUUCCUUCUUUUUUUCCCCUGCUCUCUGUUUCGUUUCAUCCUUUCUUUCUUUUUCUAUUCUUUUUCUUUUU
Molecule: long non-coding RNA, 2546 nt
Filed under: Gossypium barbadense (sea-island cotton)
Lineage: Eukaryota; Viridiplantae; Streptophyta; Magnoliopsida; Malvales; Malvaceae
Description: long non-coding RNA (GBAR_LNC010898)
Source: RNAcentral